This is a long non-coding RNA of Numida meleagris (helmeted guineafowl), 551 nucleotides long. RefSeq lists it as uncharacterized. The transcript is spliced from 3 exons. The record is from RefSeq and is a predicted model, not a curated record. Lineage: Eukaryota; Metazoa; Chordata; Aves; Galliformes; Numididae.
UUACCCAUCACCUGAAGUAUUUCACUGCAGGUGGUCAUUUAGAAGCCCUUUGGCCAGCAGCAGUUGUGCUCUUCACAAGAGGAGGUGCAUGCAGUGUCCUGCCUUGCACAGAAGGUUUUUAAGGGUUUUCUUCUUGAGAAUCUCCUGUAUCACGGGGGUCAAGUGUUGCGGUGCUCAGUAGUGGUGCGUAGCUGCCAAACGUUCCCACCCUGAUUUCCCCCAUACGAACUGCAGCGAGCUCAGAUUUCUUUGUUAUCGGCCGCACUCGGCGCAUAAUGCCGGUGACUUUGCUAUUCUGCAUGUCUCCUUAUUAAAAACAAACACGCCGCCCCGUCCCUGUUUUCAGCGUUGACAAUGCUGACAAGGAUCCCGACAAAUUCCUGCUCUCUCAGGGUGCUGGGGAAGCGCGACCAGGAAGCAGUUUGCUCUGCCGGCAGCUCCAGACAGGCUGCUCAUUGAAAAUGUAAUACACUGCUGCCAUGUCACAGGUCAGCUGGCAAAUGGCAAUCUGAAUUUUAAAAGGAAUAUGAAUAAAAUUCUGUUUUAUUUUG